This 498-nucleotide ribosomal RNA is filed under the name uncultured bacterium. RNAcentral's name for it is "partial 16S ribosomal RNA". It matches the Rfam family "Bacterial small subunit ribosomal RNA", at positions 29 to 523 of the family's 1533-position model. The record is from RNAcentral.
AUUGAACGCUGGCGGCAUGCUUUACACAUGCAAGACGAACGGUAACAGGCCGCAAGGUGCUGACGAGUGGCGAACGGGUGAGUAAUGCAUCGGAACGUGCCCAGUCGUGGGGGAUAACGCAGCGAAAGCUGCGCUAAUACCGCAUACGAUCUAUGGAUGAAAGCGGGGGACCGUAAGGCCUCGCGCGAUUGGAGCGGCCGAUGUCAGAUUAGGUAGUUGGUGGGGUAAAGGCUCACCAAGCCAACGAUCUGUAGCUGGUCUGAGAGGACGACCAGCCACACUGGGACUGAGACACGGCCCAGACUCCUACGGGAGGCAGCAGUGGGGAAUCUUGGACAAUGGGCGCAAGCCUGAUCCAGCAAUGCCGCGUGCAGGAAGAAGGCCUUCGGGUUGUAAACUGCUUUUGUACGGAACGAAACGGUCCGGGUUAAUACCCUGGGCUAAUGACGGUACCGUAAGAAUAAGCACCGGCUAACUACGUGCCAGCCGCCGCAGUAA